GAUGAAGAACGUAGCGAAAUGCGAUAAGUAAUGUGAAUUGCAGAAUUCAGUGAAUCAUCGAAUCUUUGAACGCACAUUGCGCCCCUUGGUAUUCCGAGGGGCAUGCCCGUUCGAGCGUCAUUAUACCCCUCAAGCCUAGCUUGGGGUUGGGGCCUGCUGUUACCGGCAGCCCUUAAAAUCAGUGGCGGUGCCAUCUGGCUCUAAGCGUAGUAAUACUUCUCGCUACAGGGUCCCGGUGGAUGCUUGCCAUCAACCCCUAAUUUUCUAUGGUUGACCUCGGAUCGGGUAGGGAUACCCGCUGAACUUAAGCAUAUCAAUAAGCGGAGGA
Molecule: unclassified non-coding RNA, 328 nt
Filed under: soil metagenome
Description: partial contains 5.8S ribosomal RNA, internal transcribed spacer 2, and large subunit ribosomal RNA
Rfam family: 5.8S ribosomal RNA (bases 1-120)
Source: RNAcentral